RNAcentral lists this long non-coding RNA (1910 nucleotides) under Marmota monax (woodchuck). The record is from RNAcentral. Lineage: Eukaryota; Metazoa; Chordata; Mammalia; Rodentia; Sciuridae.
GAAAACUAUUCCAUCAAUUCUUUACUGUAUUCUUUCUUUUUUAUUCCUGGGUCUCUGCCAAACACUUUGCAGCUCAUACAAAUACCAUCUUUCAUGAAUAUGUCACUGAUAAGGAUAUGUUUGUAGCCACUGAUUAAGAUAUCUGAACUGAUUUGCAGUGUAAAAAAAUAUUCAAAAGUGCUCAGAAACCAUUUAGAGUGGUCCCACUUCAAUAGGAUAAAUUAAAUGUGUUUUUCUACACCCCUCCUCCCUUGACAUUUCCUUUCAACUUGAAGAGAACUUCUGUGGCUUGCUGCAGAUUGUAAAGGAUGGACUGAAUAGAAAUUGAUGUUAUAUGCUAAAAGUUAGGGGAUAUGCUGUAAGCUGUGCAAAUUUGGCAGUGAACAAAGAGCAAGUCCUUAUAUUAGGAUGUUUGCUUCUACAGUCAUUUAUUUAAUCUGCAGUGAAAAGUUAUCUCUUGUAAGGAGACAGAUAUAUGCUAUUUUGUGGAGCUUUAGAGGGUAGUGUUUCUGUAAUUGCCCUAUCAGUUUGACCAAUCACUGGAAACAAGAAAAAAAAUAAGCCCAAGAACAUAUACAUGUAAGAGUACCAAGAAUGAGUACAGCUUAAAAUAAAUGUAGUUCUGACAAAAGUGGCUCAAGUAUCAUACAUCAAACACUUGUUACCUCUGCUGGCCUUAGUGACUGCACAUAACUAAGAACAAAUCAGUGAUAAAAUUUCAAGAAAGAUGAAACCGUCUGGGCCUUUGCAAAGACCAUCAGUCAUUCUGCAGAGCCAUAAUGUUAUUUGUUCAAGUAAUCCUUCGCUUCCUAGUUAAUGGACUUAAUACUCCCUCCACCCCUAGACUAAAUUCACAAAGGAAAUCUUUUUCUUUUUUAAAAUUGGACACAUCUUCCAGAGGAAUUAUAAGAUCUGGUCACAAAACAAGCUACUAAAUUAUUCAGUUAAUUCAUAAAUUUGCAUUCUCACAGCAUCUUGCUGUCAGUGUAGGGUUUAAAAAAUUUUACUGUUUUAAUUAAGUACUUAUUUAAUCAGAAAUAAAGUCCCUAUAGAGUCACAAGAAUUUUAUGAUUUCUCAAUACUGUCUUUCUAGAUAUACAAACAUUUUCCAUUAUAUGACAAAGGUCUACCCAGGUACAUCAAAAUAAAGUAUGCAACUCUUAUGGAAGACACUCAGAUUUUAAAAUAUACAAGUGGAGAUAGAUCAGCUGCAACAAUGAUAUCUAAGCAUAAACUACUUAAAUUUAAUGGAAAUAUUAGUCAAUAUCUGCUACUAUGAAUAUGCAAAUUACAUUAGAAGUGAAAAUAUUUUAGGCUUAAUUGCCACUGUGGUGGUUUUGACUUGGCUCUAUAAUUAACAUCUACAUUCUCGACUUUGUGACUGCUGUAAACAUUAUUUAUGAAAGUUUUAUCCAGAUAUAAUUUGGUGUUUUUGUUUUUGUCAGAUACUGGUGUCUAAUGAAAUAAAAUGCAAAGAACACAUUUUUCUGAGUGGUUCAUCAACAAUCAUUUCCUACAGCUCCUUUCCUAUACACAACCACAAUAUGAUUCUAACACUAGGGAAACAGUAUGUUAUAUUGCUACUACUCAUGUUGUUUUACCAUUUAUUGAGAUAGAAUCUGGACAAUUGCAAGAAAAUAGCAAACAUACACAUAGAUUUAGGCAAUUAUUUGAUUCUCCUUUGUAUACUCUAUAGCAUACACACCCAUAAUAUAGUGUUUUGAUACAGUCUUAUGAAGUGGAUCAGAAUUGGAGUAUUCUAUGGCAGACCAUGUACUAGAAAUCAGAUGUGUUUUUUCUCCUCUUGCACACAUGUGUGCAUUCACAAUGGGGAGGGGAGAGAAUGAAGAGGAGUUCAGCCUUUGAUGAGCUUACCUAAAAUUUUGGCAGUAGAGGGUAUUUUAAUUUGA